RNAcentral lists this ribosomal RNA (316 nucleotides) under uncultured Bacillota bacterium. RNAcentral's name for it is "bacterial SSU rRNA". It matches the Rfam family "Bacterial small subunit ribosomal RNA", at positions 28 to 351 of the family's 1533-position model. Lineage: Bacteria; Bacillati; Bacillota. The record is from RNAcentral.
GACGAACGCUGGCGGCGUGCCUAACACAUGCAAGUCGAGCGGGAUGCAGCAAUGCAUUCAGCGGCGGACGGGUGAGUAACACGUGAGGAACCUGCCCUUCAGUGGGGAACAACACCGGGAAACCGGUGCUAAUACCGCAUGACGUCCCGGGACGACAUCGUUCUGGGACCAAAGGAGAAAUCCGCUGAAGGAUGGCCUCGCGUCCGAUUAGCUAGUUGGCGGGUAACGCCCACCAAGGCUUCGAUCGGUAGCCGAACUGAGAGGUUGAUCGGCCACAUUGGGACUGAGACACGGCCCAGACUCCUACGGGAGGCAG